RNAcentral lists this unclassified non-coding RNA (446 nucleotides) under Hevea brasiliensis (rubber tree). The record is from RNAcentral. Lineage: Eukaryota; Viridiplantae; Streptophyta; Magnoliopsida; Malpighiales; Euphorbiaceae.
CUCAUUCAAGAAGUAAAAUUGACUUGCAAACAAUUAAAAUUCCAAACCCAAACAUUACAUGAAAAAAAGGAAAGCAGAAAUGGAGAAGUCAGUUACCAACAGUAGUAAUGAAAAUACAUUAUACAUCGUUUUGCCCACCCCUCUUCCAAUAAUAUUUUAAUUUCAUUUGUGAGUAAAGACAAAACCUAUGAACUCAACGCUCCGACCCUUGUGCCUGAAUAUCUAGGCAAGAGAAGGACCAGCAAAACUAUUUACAGAAAUUUCCUUUGCCAAAAGAGGCAUAUGCAAAUGAAAUUCAGAAUGCAAAUAAUGCGAGAACUCUCAGCUUGCUCUUUUCCAAUCUUACCCUUUUAACAACUAUAAAAUAAUAAUAAAAAAAAAUUAAAAAACCUGAACCAAAGAUGUGAAAACCACCAGCCAAGUCAAUAAAGUAUCAUUGUACCUUU